This 240-nucleotide ribosomal RNA is filed under the name uncultured bacterium. Its description in RNAcentral is "partial 16S ribosomal RNA". It matches the Rfam family "Bacterial small subunit ribosomal RNA", at positions 96 to 334 of the family's 1533-position model. The record is from RNAcentral.
UGGCGAACGGGUGAGUAACGCGUGAGGAACCUGCCUCAAAGAGGGGGACAACAGUUGGAAACGACUGCUAAUACCGCAUAAGCCCACGGGUCGGCAUCGACCUGAGGGAAAAGGAGCAAUCCGCUUUGAGAUGGCCUCGCGUCCGAUUAGCUAGUUGGUGAGGUAACGGCCCACCGAGGCGACGAUCGGUAGCCGGACUGAGAGGUUGAACGGCCACAUUGGGACUGAGACACGGCCCAG